GAAACUCCCGUCGAAGAAGAACCAAACAAAGCAGAAGCUGCAAGGUGAAGGUGAAGAAGAGCUCCAAUUUAGCGAGGCUUCCAGUGUGUCAUUAGUUUACUUGCUGGAAAUGAAAAUGUUGAGAGAGUUGGUGAGGAAGAGACUAAUGGCGGCAGCCGAUGAAAUAUUCCAGCUGUUUGAGAGAACGAUAGCGUCUUACGAGGAGGAACUUUCUCGAGCAAGAGAGGCGCAGGAGCGACAACGCAAACACGUUAAUAUGCUGCGUGUCGAUGCAUGUUUUUGGAUGGGGAAAUUGUGAUGUAUAUCUUACCGGAGACAUCAUUGGAUUAUUCAUCGUCCUGCAGCAGCGGCAGCUGUGAGCUUGGCUCCUCGGCUUCUCUCUGAGACACUUCGUGUUCACCGCAACCAUCCAAACUCAAGUAGUGCAUUCUUCACUCAAGCUUUAAAUAAGUAAGUAAACAGGUGAGGAGAGCAGUGAGCAGCAGCGGUGGCCACGCUCGGGAAUCAUUUUGGUGAUUUAACCCCCAAUUCCAACUCUUGAUGCUGAGUGCCAAGCAGGAGACAUCCAGCAGCUGAUUAGUCAUCAAGAAGAGCGUCCCCCUCGGCCGCAAAAUGGGGGCUCUACUUUGAAGCAGGAGGAUCCGCAGCCCCCCUAUGUUAAAGAGGAAGGGGAAGAACUUUGGAUCACUCAGGAGGGAGAUGGUCUAUUCGGGUCGGAUGUCACCGAUCUCACCAAGCUGCCGCUGACUGUUGUCUGUGUGAAGAUUGAGGACCAUGAAGAAAAACCAGCUGAGUCGUCACAGCGUCAUUACAGCCCGGGUGAGGAGAGCAGAGGGGCGGAGUUUCCACAAAACUGCUCACUACAAAACAUGACAACAGAAGCUGACAAAGAUCAGUGUGGCGCAUUGCGGUUCACGCCAAAAUCAGAUAGUGACGACGCAGCAUCAUUAUCAGACAGGGACAAUACCCCAGAGUCUUUGAGCAGCAAUACAGACUGUGAGGGUGAUAUAAGUACUCACAGAAUCAAACACUCUAAGAAAAAGUCAAGUAAAAAAACUUUCACCUGCUCAGUUUGCGCUAAAAGCUUUUCCGAUAAAAGGGAUUUUGCUCGACACACAAGAACACACACUGGGGAAAAACCUUUCUGUUGUUCAAUUUGUGGGCAGAGGUUCUCGGAGAAGUCAAACAUGGGCAAACACAUGAGAACCCACACAGGGGAGAAACCUUUUAGUUGUUCCAUUUGCGGGCAAAGAUUUGCGGAGAAGUCAAAUAUUAUACCACACAUGAGAAGGCACACUGGAGAAAGACCUUUCACUUGCUCAGUGUGCGGCCAAAGGUUCUCGGAGAAGUCAAACAUGGUCAAACACAUGAGAAGACACACAGGAGAAAUGCCUUACUCCUGUUCAAUUUGCGUGAAAAAAUUUAGUCAGCACAACGGUUUGACGGCACACAUGCGCACGCACACAGGAGAGAAACCGUUUGGUUGUUCAGUGUGCGGCGAAAGAUUCUCUCAAAAGUCAAACAUGGAGUCCCACAUGAGAACGCACACGGGAGAAAGACCGUAUUCUUGCUGGUUUUGUCCGAAAACAUUCGCUCAGCAUAGCAAUUUGAUGGUUCACACACAAAUACACAGCAGGAAAUAAAAGGUUUUCAAUCAAUGUUUAUUUAUAUAGCCCUAAAUCACAAAUGUCUCAAAGGACUGUACAAACCACUACGACUACGACAUCCUCGGAAGAACCCACAUAAGGGCAAGGAGAAUUCGCACCCACUGGGACGCCAGUGACAAUUAUGAGUAUGAGAACCUUGGAGAGGACCUCAUAUGUGGGCAACCACCCCCACCCUCUAGGGGACCGAAGGCAAUGGAUGUCGAGCGGGUCUAAAAUGAUACUGUGAAAGUUCAAUCCAUAGUGGCUCCAACACAGCCGCGAGAGUUCAGUUCAAAGCAGAUUUUCUACAUAGUCUUUCCAUCCAUCCAUUUCCUACCGCUUAUUCCCUUUUGUCAAGCGUAAUUUCACUUGCAAAGAGUCACCUUGAAUGUGAUAAUCUGUAUGAUACCUUAUUCCCACUUUGAACCAUACAGUUGUACGUCUAUGAUCAUAAAAUUGUGUCAAAUGUCUAUACAAGUACAACCCAUUUAUUCAUUUAGUGUAACAAAACUCAACUGCACGCAUUCUUUAAAAUAAAGACAAUUUUGAUCGUGACUGUCUUGCAGCUCUUCUUCAAAGUGGGCAAAAAUCAUUUGUCCAGACCCCUGAUGUCUUUGCCAAUAAGUAUUCUUCCGCUUAGACCUCCAUUUAGAUUGUACAUUGGAGUAUGUAGAUUUUGCAGUUGUUGCUCUAAGUUCCCUGGAUUUCCCACUGCUUUUUUGGGCAUGUCGUUAUAUUUUGUUAGGUGUUCAUUUAUGUACACAUGUGUGCCUUCAGCUUCUUUGCUGUUUCAGCAGUGCCAUUUUGGAUUGCCUGUUGGUAAACUUCACAAUGAUGACUGGAGUGAUCUUGUUGUUUCUUCCUUCCAGUUGAAUACACAUAUCGAUGGUGUUGAUAUCAACAUCAACUUCCUUUGAGUGCUGAAGUUGACGUGUUGAGGCAACAUCCAAUUCAUCUGGUUUUCUACUGUCGACUGCUCUGACAUAGGAUCUGGGAGUCAUGCGUAACCAAGUCACGAUCACACAUUCAUUCCCUUAUUAUGGUCCAUCUUAUAUACGAUAUUCUUCGGAUCCAUCUUGUCUUGUUGCAGGACCUUCAUUUCUUGACGCAUUGCUGUAUUUUCCUCUUGAAGGACCUUAGACUUAGACAAACUUUAAUGAUCCACAAGGGAAAUUGUUCAAUUCUUCCUUCAUCUAUAGUCGCAUUGCUUUGUGUAAAUCUAAGACUAUUUAUUUCCUUUUAGAAAUGUUUCAUUUCCUCACCAAGCUCCCUUUUAAAGAUUUCAUUCGGUAUUUUAGACUUUUGCGGUUUCAUUGUAGACUAUUUGAUUGAAAGUUGUCUCUUUCUUGCCUAAUUAUAUUUAUUGUUAUUCAACAUUAUAUUGUUUUCCAUAAUCAUUCUCAUAUCAUAUACUAGCUGUUAAUAUGCUAACGUAAGCAUGCUAACUUUUUUUGCAAAUGUUCUAGCCAUACAGAGUCAAAACUCGACACUUGAUACAUCAUACAUGUUAACUUUUUCUGCUUGCAAAUUUUACAGCCGUUAACUUAAAUAUCAUAUAACUUGGUACUUGACACAUGCUAGCUGUUAGCAUGCUAGCAUACUAACAUUAGCAUGCUAACUUUUUUAGCUAAUUUUGCAGUCAGUCACUUGCCCUGCCCUCGUCAAGGGAUAACAAAUAUUUCAGGAGUACAUAAUCUCACACGACACUUACCAACAUUUCACUUGUUUUAACAAAUCUGUGCCUCAUGUUGGAACAAAAUUCAGUUCAAAAAUGUUUUGCUAACUACUUUGCAACUAAAAUUACUCAGAACUCCAGUAGCGAUAGCGGAGCUUUUUUCUUUGCUUCUUUUUCCGUUGACAGGAAGUGACGUAGAAUGCCAUGUGGGCAUAUAUCAUGUACCGUAUUUGCAAAUUCAUGCCAAAAACUCACUACUGUUACUUCUUUCAGCAAGGGGUGCAAAAAAGAAAAAUUGUAUGUGUGUAUAUAUAUAUAUAUAUAUAGGCCCUGUGAUGAGGUGGCGACUUGUCCAGGGUGUACCCCGCCUUCCGCCCGAUUGUAGCUGAGAUAGGCGCCAGUGCCCCCCGCGGCCCCGAAAGGGAAUAAGCGGUAGAAAAUGGAUGGAUGGAUGGAUAUAUAUACACUGUACACACACAAAUAUACAUAUACAAACCCCAUUCCAUAUGAGUUGGGAAAUUGUGUUGCAUGUAAAUAUAAACAGAAUACAAUGAUUUGCAAAUCAUUUUCAACCCAUAUUCAAUUGCAUGCACUACAAAGACAAGAUAUAUGAUGUUCAAACUCAUAAACUUUAUUUUUUUUUUGCAAAUAAUAAUUAACUUAGAAUUUUAUGGCUGCAACACGUGCCAAAGUAGUUGGGAAAGGGCGUGUUCACCACUGUGUUACAUCACCUUUUCACUUAACAACACUCAAUAAACGUUUGGGAACUGAGGAAACUAAUUGUUGAAGCUUUGAAAGUGGAAUUAUUUCCCAUUUUGUUUCAUGUAGAGCUUCAGUCGUUCAACAGUCCGUGAUCUCCGCUGUCGUAUUUUACGCUUCAUAAUGUGCCACACAGUUUUGAUGGGAGACAGGUCUGGACUGCAGGCGGGCCAGGAAAGUACCCGCACUCUUUUUUUACGAAGCCACGCUGUUGUAACACAUGCUGAAUGUGGCUUGGCAUUGUCUUGCUGAAAUAAGCAGGGGCGUCCGUGAAAAAGAUGGUGCUUACAUGGCAGCAUAUGUUGUUCCAAAACCUGUAUGUACCUUUCAGCACUAAUAGUGCCCUCACAGAUAUGUAAGUUACCCAUGCUUUGGCCAUUAAUGCACCCCCAUACCAUCACAGAUGCUGCCUUUUGAACUUUGCGUCGAUAACAGUCUGGAUGGUUCGCUUCCCCUUUGGUCCGGAUGACACGAUGUCGAACAUUUCCAAAAACAAUUUGAAAUGUGGACUCGUCAGACCACAGAACACUUUUCCACUUUGCAUCAGUCCAUCUUAGAUGAUCUCAGGCCCAGAGAAGCUGGUGGUGUUUCUGGAUGUUGUUGAUAGAUGGCUUUCACUUUGCAUAGCUUUGACAUACUGUAUUUACUGAAAGUAGUUUUCUGAAGUGUUCCUGAGCCCAUGUGGUGAUAUCCUUUAGAGAUUGAUGUCGGUUUUUGAUACAGUGCCGUCCGAGGGAUCGAAAGUCACGGUCAUUCAAUGUUGGUUUCCGGCCAUGCCGCUUACGUGGAGUGUUUUCUCCAGAUUCUCUGAACCUUUUGAUGAUAUUAUGGACCGUAGAUGUUGAAAUCUCUAAAUUUCUUGCAAUUGCAUUUUGAGAAACGUUGUUCUUAAACUGUUUGACUAUUCGCUUACCUCGCCCCAUCCUUUCUUGUGAAAGACUAAUCAUUUUUUGGGAAGCUGUUUUCAUACCCAAUCAUGGCACCCACCUGUUCCCAAUUAGCCUGCACACGUGUGGGAUGUUCCAAAUAAGUGUUUAAUGAGCAUUCAUCAACUUUAUCAGUAUUUAUUGCCACCUUUCCCAACUUAUUUAUCACGUGUUGCUGGCAUCAAAUUCUAAAGUUAAUGAUUAUUUGCACACAAAAAAAAUGUUUAUCAGUUUGAACAUCAAAUAUGUUGUUUUUGUAGUAUAUUCAAUUGAAUAUGGGUUGAAAAUGAUUUGGAAAUCAUUGUAUUCCGUUUAUAUUUACAUCUAACACAAAUUCCCAACUCAUAUGGAAACAGGGUUUGUAUAUAUAUAUAUAUAUAUAUAUAUAUAUAUAUAUAUAUAUAUAUAUAUGUACAGCCCUUACCUCUGGGCCGAUGCUGAGGGCGACUGUGUUGACCAGUUUGACGCGUGUUUGAUUGAUUGAUUGAUUGAUACUUUUAUUAGUAGAUUGCACAGUACAGUACAUAUUCCGUACAAUUGACCACUAAAUGGUAACACCCGAAUAAGUUUUUCAACUGUAAAUGAUAGAAUGUCCAGUACUGUAGAAUUGUGAUUCGAUAUGACAAUCCGUGUAUUUUAUGCUAUCCAAAUUAAAUCAAAGGAAGGUUAUAUAUAACAAAAGGUAUGGCACAUUAUUACUGCAUUGUCACAACAAGUCACGGCACGGUCGAAAACUGUUUGUCCUCCAUCCGCCAUGCCCAUGCUCACACCUGAACCCAAUUUAAGUAGGCUACCAUGGUAACCGCACCAUAGCAACAGUCCCAUUCCUGUCAACACUUCCUGGCUCUUAACAGGAAGUGGGCGGAGCAAUCCGCCGAAAAGGAAAUUUCACAUGCGUUGAGGUCAGCAAUCAAUUAGAGAAAAUAAAAAUAAAAACACUACAAACAACUAAGGACAUUUGGCUCCAAAACUCCGGCCCCCAAUUGAGAAGGGCAGGAUGCCAUGAACAAUUCAAAAUAAUAAUAAUAAUAAUAAUAAUGGAGCCACAAAUAUAAACAAAUAAUCGUUUUCGAGUGUUUUUUUGUUUUUGUUUUUUACACUUCAGCUUCUUGCAGCAAGCACAUUUUUGUAACUGGUCUGUCCAGUGUACUUGUUUUAGUUUUGAGUUUAGCAGAACGCACAAAUCCUUUUUUAUCUGGAUAAGUGUCCACCACUCUUCCAAAUAACCAAGACUUACGUGGAGCGGUAUCGUCUGCGAUUAGUAUAAUGUCAUUUGGGACUAGAUUUCUUCUCUGUUUGCUCCACCUCUGCCGCUCCUGUAGCAAAGGUAAGUCUUACCCAGCGUUUCCAGAAUAGGUCAGAGAUGUAUUGGACUUGUCUCCAUCUUCGUUUGAGACAGAGGUCUGAUUUUUCAAAAAAUCCAAGUGGUUAAAUUGGCAUUCCUUUCAUGGUCAGAAUGUAAUUGGGAGUGAGGGCUUCUAGAUAAUUGGGAUCCCCAGACAACCUUGUUAUGGGGCGGUCAUUCAGGAUCGCUUCGACAUCACACAGCACCGUUGGAAAUCCUUCGUCAUUCAGAGUUUGCUGUCGUAGGACUGAUGUCAAUGUUCGGCGGAUUAUUCUGAUCAAGCGCUCCCAUGCACCUCCAUGGUGAGAGGCUGUUGGUGGGUUGAAGCUCCACCGUGUUCCUUCCUCCAGAAAUGCUGACUGUACUUUUGCUUUGAUUUAGAGCAACGAGUGCUUCUCUCAACUCCCUUUCAGCACCAACAAAAUUGGUUCCAUUGUCGGACCUUAAAUGAAAGACAGGUCCUCUUCUACAAAUGAACCUGCGUAUAGCAUUUAUACAAAAAUCUGUAUCCAAUGAGUAGGCAACCUUAAAAUGGACUGCUCUUCAUGCCAUACAGGUAAAGAUAACCCCAUAUCGCUUUUCCAAUGAACGACCUCUCUUGACCUCUACCUGGCCGAAAUAAUCAACACCGACAUUGGUAAAUGGAGGUAGGUCGGCAGCGAUCCUCUCUUCAGAUAGGUCUGACAUCUUCUGUUCGCCUAAUUGGCCUCUAUGGCGUUUACAGAAGACACAGUUUGCAAUGAUUUUUCUGGUGGCUGCAUUAGCACUUGUGAUCCAAUAUUUCCUUCUUAGCCUGGAUAGUACAUGGUUUCUCCCGCCAUGGCCCAGUUGUUCAUGAAAGUGUUUAACUGGCCUCUGGUGAAGUCUGAAGAUGUGAGAGCUCUGCAAGCCUACUCUCUUUAUCUUUGAGAAUGUUGCACUGCCAUGGAAAACGUGCAGUACAUGCAGGAACUAAAUAUGCCAGCUAACAUGAAAACUGUGAUCUUCAAGCUACCGUACAGGCUGCGAGAAAGCUGGAGAGUCUCUGCAUGCAAUAUCUUAGAAAACCACCAUUGCAGACCUCAGUUCUCAAACAUUGUAGCAUUCAUUUAGCGACAGGUGAAAAUUGUCUCUGACCAAGUCUUUGGAGACAUCCAGAAUACACCACAGAGUACAGGAAGUAAACCUGUGACAGGAAUAAAAUCACAAGGUAAACCCAAAUUCCAAGGUAGCAGUUUUGCCUCUACCAUUAAUAUUAAUACCCCUGAAGCAGAAAAGCAAACCAGAUUCAAACCUGCUCCAAAACAAAGUGCAUCUGCUCAUACCACAAACGCAUGUGUUUGCCGCUCCAAAAAUAACGCUCUUGACCAGUGUCGUCAGUUGGAGGAGAAGACCCACAGGGAGAAAAUAACUUUUAUAAGACAGAAAGGAAUCUGUUUUGGGUGUCUUCAUGUUGGACAUUUUAGCAGGCAUUGUGACAAGGGCUUGACCUGCAAGGUAUGCAGCUAAACCACCCGAGUCUGCUUCAUAUUUGUCAGAAGGAAAGAACAAGCAACAUAAAUGCAAACCAAAAUAAGGCAACGGAAAUAUCUGUGAGUAAUGCACAAAUAAAAAUGAAAAUGGAACUCUGUCAAUUCUGCCUGUACAGAUAAAGUCCAGCAAAGGACACACGGUCAUACAAACCUAUGCAUUCCUGGAUCCGGGCAGCAAAUAUACAUUUUCAAAGAUACAUUACACUUUCACAGUAUCAUGUUAGACCCGCUCGACAUCCAUUGCUUUCCUCCUCUCCAAGGUUCUCAUAGUCAUCAUUGUCACCGACGUCCCACUGGGUCAUUAUUGUCACAGAUUUCCCACUGGGUGUGAGUUUUCCUUGCCCUUAUGUGGGCCUACCGAGGAUGUCGUAGUGGUUUGUGCAGCCCUUUGAGACACUAGUGAUUUAGGGCUAUAUAAGUAAACAUUGAUUGAUUGAUUGAUUGAUUUGUUCUGAAAGCUUGAUGACAAAGCUCAACUUGAAUGGGAAAAAAACUAAAAUCAAUCUCCUAACCAUGGGCCCCAAAACAUCAGUUUCCAGUUACAUGCUGACGGACUUAGAGAUCUCAAGCCUCACUGGGCAUCAGUUCUACAACCUUCCCAAGGUCUACACCCAAAAAAGGAUGCCCGUAACGACAAGCAACCUCAUCAAUCAAGAGGGGUUGGCUAAAUGGCCAUUCUUGGAUGGCAUCACUCUUCCUCGUUUUGAAGCCGAUGUAGAGCUAUUGAUUGGGACCAAUGCAUCUAAACUGCUUAAACCCUGGGAAGUAGUCAACAGUUGUGGAAAUGGACCGUAUGCUGUUAAGACCUUAUUGGGGUGGGUCAUUAAUGGCCUUCCUGACUACAGUGAGAAGAGGAGUAAGAUUGGCUGCUCCACUACUACUGUCAACAGGAUCUCCAUAACAAAGCUGGAGGAGCUACUUCACAAUCAUCAUAACCAUGAUUUUAACGACAGGUCAUCAGAAGACAAAGAAGAAAUGUCUAGAGAUGACAUGAAGUUCAUGAAGGACAUGACUGAUUCGUGCAAGCUUCAAGAUGAACACUACAAUUUGAACUGCCCUUUAAAAGGAAGGAUGAUGUGUCGCUUCCCAACAAUCAGGGUGUUGCUAGGCAAUGCAUACUUGGUCUAUAAAGGAGGUUUGGGAAAGAUAAAAGAUAUCACAGAGAAUAUACAACCUUUCUCAAUGAUGUAAUCGGUAAAAGUUAUGCAGAACGUGUACCUGAAGAGCUAGUAGACUGUUCAGAUGGGAAGGUGUGGUACAUUCCACACCAUAGGGUGUACCACCCCAAAAAAGGAACUCUGCGUGUGGUAUUUGAUUGUGGCGCAGAGUACAGAGGAAAAUCUCUCAACAAGGAGCUUCUCCAAGGCCCGUAUCUCACCAGCAGCUUGUUAGGAGUCCUCACCAGAUUCCGACAAGAACCUGUAGCCUUGAUGACCGACGUUAAGCCCUACUGAAAUUAGAUGUUCUUAUUUAAACGGGGAUAGCAGGUCCAUUCUAUGUGUCAUACUUGAUCAUUUCGCGAUAUUGCCAUAUUUUUGCUGACAGGAUUUAGUAGAGAACAGCCUUGCCUGUACCGGAAGUAGCAGACGAUGUGCGCGUGACGUCACGGCUUGUGGAGCUCCUCACAUCCUCACAUUGUUUACAAUCAUAGCCACCUGCAGCGAGAGCGAUUCGGACCGAGAAAGCGACAAUUUCCCCAUUAAUUUGAGCGAGGAUGAAAGAUUUGUGGAGGAUAGUGAGAGUGAAGGACUAGAAAAAAAAAAAGGAGAUGGUAGUGGGAGCGAUUCAGAUGUUAUUAGACACAAUUACUAGGAUAAUUCUGGAAAAUCCUAUAUCUGCUUAUUGUGUUACUAGUGUUUUAGUGAGAUUAUAUGGUAUCUGAAAGUCGGAGGGGUGUGACCGCCAGUGUCCCCGGUGGAAGGAGGUAAGAGAGUCCGCAGCUGCAGGAGGACGCAAGCUCCGCUCAUGUCUACGGUAAAAGCCGACUUAUUGCAACAAUUGUCUCACCGAAACCUGCCGGUUGACAUGUGGUCGGGAACCAUGUUCGCUUGACCGCUCUGUUCCAUAGUAAAGCUUCACCUUCGGGAAUGUAAACAAGGAAACACCGGCUGUGUUUGUGUGGCUAAAGGCAGCUGCAAUACACCGCUUCCCACCUACAUCUUUCUUCUUUGACUUCUCCAUUAUUAAUUGAACAAAUUGCAAAAGAUUCAGCAACACAGCUGUCCAGAAUACUGUGUAGUUAUGCGAUUAAAGCAGACUCCUUAUAGCUUGGAUCGGACUGGAAAAAAAUUUCCGCUACAAUCCGAGACGUCACGCGCACGCGUCAUCAUACGCGUCAUCAUACGCGUCAUCAUACCGACGUUUUCAACAGGAUACUUCAGGCGAAAUUUAAAAUUGUAAUUUAGUAAACAAAAAAGGCCGUAUUGACAUGUGUUGCAAUGUUAAGAUUUUAUCAUUGAUAUAUAAACUAUCAGACUGUGUGGUUGGUAGUAGUGGGAUUCAGUAGGCCUUUAAAGCAAUGUUUCAUCUAGUCAAUAAAAAAGUGAAGGUUCUUA
Long non-coding RNA from Nerophis ophidion (straightnose pipefish), 10417 nucleotides. RefSeq lists it as uncharacterized. Lineage: Eukaryota; Metazoa; Chordata; Actinopteri; Syngnathiformes; Syngnathidae. The record is from RefSeq and is a predicted model, not a curated record. The transcript has 5 exons.